UCAACAUCCAUGAUUGUCAAAAGUCUCUGUCAAUUCAUGUGUUUCUCCGCGAGCAAUAUCCACAAAAGAGGGACACAUUGAAAUUAGUCUUGGGUUGCGUCUUUUAUCGCGAUAUCGUUAAUAAAUAUAAGAGAUGUUGCUGAAGUUAUUAUAUGGACGGCACAUAGAUUGAUUGGUAAAAAGAUGAACGUAUGACAAGUAACGUAUAACGUAACAUGUGUUUUUACAAUUCCGUAUGGAAAGUAUGAAAAAUUCUUCUUUGAAAUUGUGUUUCUUAUCCUUGUAAUUUUGCACACUUUAUAUCGAGAUGUUUUAUAAUCGGCUUAAAUUCAUCUUAAUAAAGAAGAAAAAAUAUAGAAUACACUAAAAGAAACACUUGUGUACGACAGAUCUUUUAUAUCGAUUGUGAAACUGAAUUUUCUACUUGUUCGUCUACUACAAAGAUUACUACGAACUUUUUGUCGACUCAGGGACAACGAAACAGAGUAUAUCCUACUCCGCACUCCGUCGACAACUGGAAUGAGCGUGGCUCUUUGCUUGCAGUGAUUUUUAUUAGCCUGUCCAAGUCAAACACAAUUGUGCUAGAUAGUGCCAACUUUCUUGCCAACGGAGAUAUAUAUACAAUUUCUUGAAAACCAAUAAUAAUAGGACUUUACCUAGUCGUUGACCAAUCAUGAAACUUUCAGAAGAAGAAUAAUGGUUGAAUUAAGCAGGAUACAUCCCCAUAAAUAUGUUAUUCAAAAUGGAGUGAGAAACAUUGUUCUUUACAUCUCUUUCUUUUAUUUUCCCUUAAUCAUUAUUAUAUUAUGUCAUCUACAAUUAUAUUUUGUUUAAAAAUGAAGGAUUUAUAGGGAUUAGUAGACGGGGAUGUGUAUUAUCCGUUUAAAUUAUAUUUCGAAGUGCUCUUUGGAAAAUUCAGCAUACUCGAUCAAGAAUAUUUGAACAAUAAUAAAACAUGUCUCUUUCGAUGAAUAAUUUACAUAUAUUUGAUUUAAAUAAAAUCAAUGUAAUGUUUAGAGAAAUACUAAAUUUAUAAAGAAUUAUCAAUUUCCCGGCUCUAUUAAAUGCGUUAAUUAGAGAAACAUACAAAAUUAUGUGGAUUAACUCGAGAAAUUAAAUAUACGUAAAAAAACUCUACUGACAUGUGAUAAGAAAACUUAAUGGAGGUAUGAGUGAAGAGCCUACUACUAGAUGCUUUCGUUGGAAAAUUAUUAUAACUGCAAGAUGAACUUCCAACAAUGUAAUGGGAAACGCUGUUCUCUACACUUUUAUAAGGCAGCUGUGUAUACAAGGCAUUAAUUGGAUAAGCAUUAUUUAGAAGAUAAGCGGUGGAACUACUAGACGAUCCCAUAGAUCUUAAAUACUCUUCUCGUUUCUUUGUUGUAGCUUGUCUUUGAAUUGUUGUAGUUGGAACAUUUAACACCUAUGAUGAUUAAAAUAUAAAUAAGUAUAAGAGGACUGUAACUAUCUUCUGUAGGAUAAAAUACGCUAGUUGAACUGUACGAAGUAGUACUAUGUUCUUGCAUUACCUGAAAAUAUAAAAUAAUAUGUAAGCGGUAGGGACAUUCUAAUAAUAUAAUAAAUUUUACUUUUUCUGGUCGAAGUCUUGAAAAUAAAGAGGUGGGACAUUGAGUUCUUGGCUUUGAUAUCUUAGUUCCCUUUAAUAAUGGCGAUGAUUGUAUACAUUCUAUUAAAAUAGCUUCGUCGUCCGAAUGAUUUGGACUAUCAUCCGAAAAUUCCUUUUCAUUUUCCAUUGAUAUAUGGCAUAAAGGUUUAAUUAUUACAGGAUUUUUAUUGUUAGAAGUCGAUUCAACGGGAGAUGAUGAAGGUGUCCCACAUAUAUUAAAUUUUGGUGGUACGGUCUCAGGUUUUUUCACGCAAGGUAUACUUUUCGUUGGAGAAUAUACCUUUGGUAUACCCGAUUGAAUGCAUUCAUCAAGAAUUUUUUCAUCUUCGUCAGAAAGAUUAUAACUUUCAUCCGAAAGAUCAUUUCUGUGGCAUUCAAGUUCUGAAGAUUUAAUUGGUUCAAUUUUCUCUAUAUCUUCUGGAACACUUGGCAUAGAUAAGACAGAAAGAUUUGAUUGUGAACCAACCGGAGAAAUACCUGCUGGUGUAUCUUCUGUACAAUAAACAUGUACUGUAUCUGGGACAACAACAAUUUCCAUUGGUGGUUUACAAAUUUUAGAGACAGCCGGUGACUCUCCAGGAGAAACAGAAACACAAGCUUGUGAUCUAUUUAAUGGUGACUUUUUGUCGCAUGACAUUAAGACACUUGUUGAUUUAGAAUGCGUAGAUUUUGGAAUACUUUCGGUUUUUAAGGAUUGUCUGUAUCUGUAGUGUAUAUAUAGUUAUUGUCGUGUAUAUAAUGUUUGCACAUGCAAUUAAUAUUACAGAAUAAUUAGAAUACCUAUUAUUUUGUAUUCCCAUACUAAUACAAGCAGCUAGCAUAUCUUCAUCAUCUUCAUCGCCAUCACUUAUUUGUUCUGGUUGUUUUUCAACUUCAAGAACAUUUACUUUUACAAAAGAUGUACUUUUAUCGAUAUUUUGAUGGAUUGGUUCUGAUAUUUCUUUCAAUUUAUCUUCACUUUUGGGAUAAUCAGAACUUUUAACUUCAUCGUCAAUAGUUAAAGAACUCAGACUUGUGGUGGUAGAAAAUUCUAUUGGUGUUGAUUCUUCUUUAAAAGUAGCAAUAUCAUCUUCGAAAACACUACUCCUUUUUACACCAUAUUUUGAACACACUGAAACAAAUAAAUAUUUAAUAUAUUGUAUUGUGAUAAUUAUGUAGAAAUAGGAAGCUUGUGUAGCUUUACUAAUUAGCAAAAUUGUUAGUAUGUAUAUUAAUGUUUUUGUUAAAAUAUAUACCCUAAUAGUAUAUUCAAUAUCAUUGCAUACAUAAAUGAGAAUGCGAUGGUUUUACUUCUUCUUCUUGCAUUUUAUUCAUAAAAUCUGUAGUUUUUAUUUUUUGUAUUCUGGGGCUGGGUGGUACAGUUUGGGUUGGAGAAUCUGGCAAUUCACUUGGCGAAACAACUCCACUUGUUCUACGGCUAAAAGAAAAAUACUUCAAAUAGUAAAAACAAUUUAAAAAUAUACAACUUGUAAUGUAUACAAAUUAUGUCGUAUGUACCUGAAAUCACUGACAACGGAGCUACGGUCAUCAUGUAUAGAAUGCUGUUCGAAACCACUCAAUGAACCAAGAGAACUACAACGUGAAAACAUUAGAGGUGUUUGUUCAGCAUAAAAAUCUUGUCCACUGAAUGUUACCAUUUUUCCUGAAGAUAAUAUCAAGGUUUAAUAUCGAAGAAAAAAUAGAUAAUCUUUUAAUUUUUAACACAAACUUUAAAAGACAUACCUUCUUUAUCGACAAUACGUGAACUAUUUUUACUUUCCAUAGGACUAUUGCUUAUUGAAUUAGAGAUUAAUUCAUUCCUAUUUAAUUCUGUUACAUUAGAAUUACUUGUUUCUGGUUCUGAUUUACUCAUAGAAUUCUCUAAACUUGCUUUUGAUAUUAUUUCAGAUACAUUAUUGCGUUGUGCUAUUUCACUGUUAAAAGAACUGAGCGAAUUAACACAGGAAGAACUACUAAAUUCUUCUUCUUUAUAAUAACUAAUUGGCUUUUCAGGAAUCAUAUGAUUCGAGCUUAUACUAAUAAUAUGCUUUUGUCUCUCUGUACUUUCUGAUAUUAAAUGUUGUUGCUCGUGACAUUCUUCUGUUCUUCUAUCCUCGAAAGAUAUACUUUUUUUAUGUCUAGCAUCAAGUCCUUUCUUUUGUGUCUUUUUAGAAUGAUCAUUAUCUUUUGUAUCUUCGACUCUUAAAUCAGACAUAGAUGUUGCAGUAGAAAAAUUAAAAGGUGUUUCGUAAGGUGUACCUUCUGUACAAUAUGUUUUAAUAGUAUCUUCUUGUACGCUACCGGAAAAGUAUUCUGUAGUUGGUUUCUCAUCUUCAUCAGUGUCAUUUUCUGCAUAUCUUAAACUAUAGUCCGUUGGUUGAUCAAGAUCUGUUUCUGCAUAAUCUCCAAAUAAUACUGUUUCAGAUUCACAUUCUUUAAUAUCCUCAUUUGCUGACUGAUUUUUCUGUACAUCAUUUAGAAGAUGAUUUUGCUUUAAUCUAUUUCUUUCAAUAUAUUUUUUACUGUAAUCUACUGGUUGAUCUCGUAUAUCAUCGUCAUAAGUUUCCGUUGCAUUUUCAUCCAUAUUACUUUAAUUUAACAGUUAUUUAAAUACUUUUGAAAAAUUAUUUGAAAUAAUGCAAAUCGAUAAAGGCACAGGUAUUCUCUCAAAUUAUGUUAAAAACAAUUCUCUAACAUCAUUAAAAUUCUAUUGGUAACACCUGUUUAACGAUUAAUUACAAGUUCAUUUACCUGUCAUUAAAAGGGUGAAUGCACAUGCAUUUACAUGUGGAAUGGUUGGUGCACUAAUGCCGUCAUGUGCGCUAUCUAUCGGCUAAAGCCCAUAUUAAAAAAGAUAUAUUAAUCCAUCUUGAUUUACGACAGACACAAAAAUAAUAUAAU
Long non-coding RNA from Vespa velutina, 4507 nucleotides. RefSeq lists it as uncharacterized. NCBI's taxonomy places the organism in Eukaryota, Metazoa, Arthropoda, Insecta, Hymenoptera, Vespidae. The record is from RefSeq and is a predicted model, not a curated record. The transcript has 6 exons.